This 248-nucleotide long non-coding RNA is filed under the name Parus major (Great Tit). Its description in RNAcentral is "lncRNA (ENSPMJG00000000659.1)". The record is from RNAcentral. Lineage: Eukaryota; Metazoa; Chordata; Aves; Passeriformes; Paridae.
CAAAAAGAGCAGAUUUCCUUCCAGCCUUUCGAAACUGCAGCAACCUCUUAGGUAUUUUUGUGCAGUAUUCCACACAGCAAUAAUUCUGUGUGAGAUUUCUACAACACUGAAGAACUCUUUCCUAAGCAGUUUUUCCCCACUGAGAACUUUUAAAGUUAAUAAUUCCUAGUAUGCAAAAUUGUUUGUGCAGCAUUACUUUAAUGCUGGAAAUUGUAUCCCUGUUGUCAGAUCCAUCAUGCUAUUCUAAG